AUCAUGUUACUGUUUCAGUGCUAGUACUACAGCUUGACAGAAGGCUAACCUUGUGCAAAUUCCAAGGCAUUUCGACGUUUUGUCAGCAUUUGGCGAUGCGUGCAGUGCGAUCGAGGGACAAAGCUUUGCAGACAGUGUACAAAAUUAAUUUGUGGACGCUGGCUUCUGGGGCGAUGCGUCUUGUUUGGGCGCACGGUUAAUCAGGAGGACUAGGUACGUUUUCGAGGCAAUGAACAACACUAGUCUAUGCAAGUUUUACUUUGAUAAAGAAGUAAAUCUUCCAUAGUAGUUGUACUAGCAAGGGAUGAAGUGAACAACUGAUAACAGUGGCUGUAAAAUAAACAUCUAUAAAUCAUCGUUAGGUAAAUUAUUUCUAGAGUUGUUUUAAGUUAACUUUUAUAAGUUUGAUUAACUUUCUUAAGAAACAUAUUAACAUCUAUAAUAUCAAAUAAGUAGUACUUCCUCCGUCCACGAAAGAAUCAAUUUCUAGAGUUAUCCUAAGCCAAACUUUUUAAACUUUGACUAAAUUUCUAAAAAAAAUGCUAAGAUUUAUGGUAUCAAAUUAGUAUCAUUAGGUUCAUCAAAGAAUAUAUUUCUAUAUAAUGUGCAUUUUAUAUUAUAGAUGUUGUUACUAUUUUUCUUUUUAGAUUAAGUGUUACUCUUUUUCUAUAAAUUAGUCAAAUGUUACCAAUGUUGUGUGGGUUUUAUAUUAUAUUAUAACAUAAAUUUAGAAGUUGGUUUUAUUUGGGGGGACGUAUACAUGUAUGCGCAAUCGACGGGCUGUCUUGUGUGUGCUGUAUCGAUGGUAGAGCAGCAAGGCCUGGAAGCACGAUCAUCUUGUCCCCUGUCCUGUGCAUGUAAACAGCCGCGUGUGCAACCCAAAACCACUCCGAAGGCGUCUCCUGUCGCUGCUGGUAAUAAAGAGAAAGGAUCGAUGUUUUCGCCGAUCGAGCUGCCCGACCAUCCCGAAUUCCAGCCGACCAUUCUGCGCUCCAUUUGACGAGUGCAUGCAUGAUUAUUCAGGUAGAGUUUCAUCUCCAGCCAAAAUAGCUUCAUGGAAUGGCUUUAUUUCUCUAGCGCUAGUUUCACUAUUUGAAAAGACAUUUGGUAAAAUAGUUGCUUAAAAGAUGAAUGUCCAUCAUUUUUUUUUUCACUUUCUCAAUCCUUAUCCUCUGCCACACCAAAAUGGUGGAUACCUUUCUUCUUUCGUCUUCGUACGCCCAACUCUAAUUUCCUUAUUUGGAAAUGAUAAUUUCCGCAACUUUCCAUUUUUAGAAGGUAACUAAGUUAUACAUAUAUAUGUUAUAGAACAUAACUUAUUUCUAUAAAUUAUACUAACAACUUGGCAUAACACUUUGCAAAACUUAUUACCAUAUGACUUAUACCAUAUAACUCACAACUUAUGCUAAAAUUUGAAACACAAAAGUUAUAAAACAUUUUUUUUAAUUUUUCUUUUGUCUUUUUUCUCUUUUUAUUUUUUAUAUAAGUCUAUCAAUUUUUUCUUUUUAUAUAUGCUGUCAACCCUUAUUUUAUUUGGGCGAUCGUUCACUUAGAUUUGAUGUAACAAAGGUUCAAACUAUCUCCCCUUCUAGCGUGCUUUUUCCAUAACCACCGCUGAUGUCAUAAAAAAGUAAAAUAUUUAUUUUAAAAUGCUAGAUGUAAAUUUUAACCAUAUAAUUUGUAAUUAUUAACUUUCCGCACGUAACUUUUAUUUCUAACUUUCUGUACGCAACUUUUAUAUCUAACUUUCUACGUGUAACUAGUAGAUAUUAACUUAUAAUUAUUAUCUUUUAUGUCUAACUUUUUGCAAAGCUAUUUGAUUUAUUAUAUUUUGUGCUUAACUUGCAGUUAUUAACUUAUAUGUUAAAAUUAGUUUAAUUAAAAUAUGCUUAAGUUUUAAUUGUAACUUUUUUGAACAUUCGCUAAAUUGUCUCGUCAUAAAUUAUGUUGAUAAACUUGUUCCAUAAAAUAUUAUAGAUAAAAGUUAUGUGUAUAACUUUAUCAUGUAGUAAGUUAUAUGUAUAUAAGUUAUAUGUGUAACUUUGUCACAAUGAAGAUAUAUGUUAAAGUCACGUAUAUGAGUUAUACGUAAAAGUUUGUUCCAUAAGUUAUACGUAAAAAUUGUGAGUACAAUUUUUCAAAAAAAAAAAAAAGAAAAGUAGCGAUUUUUUUUGCCUAAAAUAUAAAACUUUCCAAAAAUAGAAAAUUGCGGGAUUUUUUGCCAAAAAAGGAAAGUUGUGGGGGCUGUCUGAUCGUUCGCUAGAUUCAAAUCUACUGAAACGUUCACUAUUUAGUGAAGCCGCUUCGUACGUGGCGACGCCGAACUGCCAUAUCGGCACGCCCCUUCCCUCCCUCUAGCCUGUAUCGCCCCACGUACGCUGCCAUUUUCUUGACAAGUGACACGCUGUAGAGCCACUCCACCACUGUUUGCUCGACUAGCAGUGUCGCAACUCUAGCUGUCUAGCCCGUGUCACAUCGUUGUCUCUCUAAUCCAUGUUGCGACACGGUCUCAGCUCCCACCAUCUUCCUAUCCCCUCCCCGUUCCCUCCUAAUUAUUAAUUUAUAAGAGAAACCUCAUAGAACCCUCAAACAAGCCCUAAACUAAAAUUUUAUUAAAAGAGGAUCUAGAACAAAAUUUGAGAGCCCAUAUAUAUUUGAGUCCUCAAAAAUAAGAUGCCCUCAAAUCAGCUUCAGCAACCCUCAUUCCUAUGGUCGCCCUCUAUAUAGUGGUUGACAAGUUUUUCACCCGCCCCACACUUAAACUUUCCUGUGUUCGAGUCACUGGACUGCACCGCGAUCGUCAUCAUCGGUCUAUCUCCAAGUUCGGCAAUGCCCUUCCUCACCUCCAAAUACGCCCCAACCAAUCUUCCCUACCUCCCCUAAGGUUGAUUUGUUAGGUCACGACACGCCUCGAUAGGGGUUGCGACCGUCCAAGUCAAACUUGUGGCGCCUCAUGCGCUCUGCUCGCUCAGCACAUACACCUCUGCUUGAUGCUUCGUGUGACUCCUUUUGCAUUGACUAUCUCGUGUUCCCCAUCCUCUCCCUACCCAACGAGUUGAUGGAUCCUCAUGCUCCUUCCAGCAUGGAUCCACUUCUUCCCAGCUCAAAGGGUAGAUCCUCGUGCUUCUCCUAGUGUGGAUCCUCUUCUUCUUGGUCUCGUCCUUCUCUCAGCCUCCUCACCCAACGGCUUGAUGAGCCUCAUGGUGGAUUUGUCAUGCUCCUUGGAUCCUCUUCUUCCCUGUCUUGAUAGAUGGUCUGUCGAUAAGAGCAGAUAAGACGAGGAGAAGUCAUAAUUUGAGAGCCUUUAUUUGAAGUCUUCAGAAUUAGAGUAGCUCUUAAAUAAAAAAAAAGAGGUUCUGAUUUCAGUCGUCUGCUAGAGUUACUUUAAACAACUCGCUGCCUAUUGCUUAAUACUAUAAGAUAAACAAGAUUUAAAAUUAUGGGGCUAAACUUAUUGAUUGAUCUCGGUACAAGCAUUAUAUAAUUGACCUAUAUAAUUAUAAAUUCUAUGAAUAGGGUUAGCCAGUAGGUAAUUUUGAAGGCCCUCAUGACGACCCCUCUAAACUAUAAAAUUUUAUAGUAAUGUAAGCUAAUUUUAUUCGUAAGGGGAAAGCAAAUCCAAUCAUAUAUAGAUAAAUUGCUCUUUUUAUAUUUUUCAAUUUUUUUUAUAGCCCCUGACAAAUGUUUGUUAGGUAACACUCUAAAAUUCUAACAUAUGACCUAAAGUACAAGAAAAAUAUGACUAUAUAAGUACAAAGUACUAAAACAAAAAUUAAACAAGAAAAAAAACCUAGUUCCUAAACAAUUGAGACAUGAACUAAUUCAAAAUCAAAACCAAGAUUCACAAAUCACAAAAAAAUAAAAGAGUAGAAGAAAAUAACCAAGAUCACAUGUCGCAGUCCGUCGAGCCUCGCCAGUUGGUCGUCGCCGUUGUCGUUUGGAUUUUGGAAAACUAGAACUUGGACGCAGAGGUUUUGGUAUUAUCUACUGCAGCUGGUGAUCGUAUUGUCGAUGUCACAGCAUCCUCAUCGGAAGUCUAAAAGUCAUAACUCGUGAUCGCUAUGUGCAGCAGCGCGUGUACGACUUAUUGGUGGCUUGACUCCUUGGUUCACGACUUUUUUUUAUAAUAGACCCGCUACAUCGUAUAUAUACACAUACUAAUAAAUAAGGACUAUAGCUAAAAAAUAUGUGACCUUAUAUACAUAUCGCAAGAGCCCUCGGCCAUCACACCUCAUGCCCUGCCCUCAGGGCCG
This 4253-nucleotide long non-coding RNA is filed under the name Sorghum bicolor (sorghum). Its description in RNAcentral is "long non-coding RNA (SBIC_LNC001912)". The record is from RNAcentral. Lineage: Eukaryota; Viridiplantae; Streptophyta; Magnoliopsida; Poales; Poaceae.